RNAcentral lists this long non-coding RNA (392 nucleotides) under Hordeum vulgare. Its description in RNAcentral is "long non-coding RNA (HVUL_LNC011005)". Lineage: Eukaryota; Viridiplantae; Streptophyta; Magnoliopsida; Poales; Poaceae. The record is from RNAcentral.
CUCCUGCAAACCGUGCCUUCAGCCGUUAUGGACAAAGGAAAGGCGAUUGCUGAUGCAUACAGGACGCCUACAGAUAAUUAUUAUGAAGAGGGUAAUGGCGCAGAGUUGGAUCCCAGUCUGAAACAGCUACAGGACAUUCUUUAGUGCUGAAUCUUGUUCAGGUUAACACAUCUUGUGUUGUUAAGGUCCUUCAGUAUGAUUGUAUUGCAAAGUACUCCCUCUGUAAACAACUAUAAGAGUGUUUAGAUCACUAUUUUAAUGAUCUAAACGCUCUUAUAUUUCUUUUUGGAGGAAGUAGAACCAAGUUCGCGGCAGAAUACGUACCUGCGACCGUACUUCUAGAAUAUAGUACUAUUACUUUUCAUUGUACUCCCUCCGUUUCUAAAUAUANG